GGUGGGCAUGGUGGCACAUGCCUGUAAUCCAGCGACUCAGGAGACUGAGGCAGGAGGAUAACAAGCUCAAAGCCAGGCUGGGGAACUUGGUGAGAUCCUGCCUCAA
RNAcentral lists this small RNA (106 nucleotides) under Marmota monax (woodchuck). The record is from RNAcentral. Lineage: Eukaryota; Metazoa; Chordata; Mammalia; Rodentia; Sciuridae.